CAAUAUCUUGAAACGCCUGCUUCUCUUGUAGCUGAUUUUAAACACGGAGGGAAGGAUUGGUGUGCAGACAGGAGGAGCUGCCCCCCCUCCGCUACUGUGUGGGACGAGAACCGAUGUCAAAGCAGAAACAGCCUCGGAAAGUGCGGGGUCCUCAGCGACGGGCCCUGCUUGCCAGGCGGCCUUCAGCAGGGUGGCAGCAGGCAGGGCAUCUGUGCCAUCUUCAGCCACUGAAUCGUUUACAAGUUUUCGAGGUGGAGACGGCGGGAAGCCGUUUGACAGCCCCGGCUGAUCUUCCCUCGCACUGUCAUCCCGCGUGACUGGCUGGAAGCUGGCCUGAUGGGUCAAGGGAGGGGAAGGAAGGCGGGAGAUCAGUAGUGACGGAGAUUCCGUUUGGGCAAAGCCUGUCAAUACCACCAGUAUCAGGAAUGAGAGAUGAUGCCCAGUCUACAGAUAUUGGAUGGAAACAUACAGAAUGGUAUGAACCUCACGGUCAAAAUUUCAACAAGUUAGCUGUGGGCAAACGGACAGAUUUCCUUGAAAGACACAAAGUACCAAAGCUCAUUCAAGAAGGAAAAGAUAACCCAAGUAGCCCUUUUUCCGUUAAAAAAAUUUUUUUGAAUUAAUAGUUAAAAACUUCUGCACAAAGAAAAUUCAGGCCCGGAUGGUUUCAUUGGAAAAUUAUACCAAAAUUCUAAGGAAGAAAUUACACAAUUCUACCCAAAUUCUUCUGGGAAAUGGAAGAGAAAGCAUGUCUCAACUCCUUCUGUGAAGAGUUCCCCUCAUCCAUCACCUGGACGCCCAAACUAAAUGUUGUAAGAAAAGACAACUACAAGCCAAUCUCUGUUAUGAAUAUAAGAGUAACACUUUUAAACAAAAAUUGAAUCCAGUAAUAUAUACGUAGGAUAACAUAUCGCAACCGAGGCAGGUUUAUGCCGGGAACACGAGGUUGGCUUACCACUUAAAAAGCAGUCAGCGUAAUUCACCACAUUACCAAGCGAGAAAUGAAAAACCACACGAUCAUCUCAAUAGAAGCUAAGACACCUUUUGUAGAAUCCAACAUCUGGUUUUGGCAAAAAGUCUCAGCAGACUAGGAGUCAAAGGGAACUUCCUCGGGAUCGAGGACACCUGCAGACACCCAGCGUUCGUGUCCUCCCAGGUGGAGCGGGACUGAUGCCUCCAAGAACAGGGACAGCACCCCCCCCCCCCUCUGUUAGCAUCACGCCAGAAGGCUGGCCAGCGCAGUGAGGCAAUAAAGAGAAACCAAAGCUAUGCAUACUGGAAAUGAAGACCUGAAAUGGUCUCUAUUCACAUACAACACGGUAAUCAGUAGAAAAUGUGGUGGAGUCUGGAGUCUACAAGGAAGCUGCUAGAAUAGUGAGUUUAGCAAGGUUGUGGAAUGAAUACAAGGUCUGUAUGUGAAAUCAAGUUUUUAAUAUGGUGGCAACGAACAAUUGGAAGCAGAUUUUAUUUUAUUUUUUUUAACGUUUAUUUUUGAAAGAGAGUGUGAGUGGGGGAGGGGCAGAGAGAGGGCGACCCUGAAUCCGAGGCAGGCUCCAGGCUCCGAGCUGUCGGCACAGAGCCCGACGCGGGGCUCGAACUCGCGAACCGCGAGAUCGUGACCUGAGCCGAAGCUGGAAUUGUUUAACUGACUGAGCCCCCCAGGCGCCCCAGAAACUCAACUUUUAAAUGGCCAUUUACAAUACCAGCAAAAAGUGUGAAAUACUUAGGAAUAAAUCUGAUGGAGGAGAAGCAAGACUGGUUCACCGAACGUAGCAAAGCAUCUCUAGAAGAAAUGGAAGGUCUGAGGACGGGCGAGGCGUCGAGUUGCCCGUUCCCCAGGUCGUCCGUAGACCCAGUGGAUCCCAGGCGAGGUCUCAGCCCGCUGGUUUGUGGAAACUGACCAACCGGUUCUCAAAUUCGUGUGGGAGCGCUGAGGACCACAGUGUCCCACGGGAGCUGA
Molecule: long non-coding RNA, 1960 nt
Organism: Lynx canadensis (Canada lynx)
Lineage: Eukaryota; Metazoa; Chordata; Mammalia; Carnivora; Felidae
Source: Ensembl